UGACCUAAUUGUGACUGAAGGGAUUCAUAUGAACUCUAGACUUUAAAGAAAUGAGGCAAAGAGAGAGGUAUUUGGGGAGUCUUUAAUGGUGGUUGCCCUCUCUCUCUUCGCCCAUGAUUUCCUUUUUCAUAACAAUAAACCACCAUUUAUUUUAAGGCUCUGUUUGGUUAAGCUGUCGUUCUGAAACAUACACACACACACAUACAUAUAUAUAUAUAUAUAAAAUAUAAAAGCAGGCAGGUUGAAGGGUUUAGGGUUUUAAGAUCUAACCCUUUUGCUUCUUUUUCUUCUUCUUCUUUUUCCUCCUCAUCAUCAUCUUCAACACAACAUUAUUAUUAUUAUUAUUGUAAAGGAUGAGAGGCUAUGAUGAUUAAAUAGUUGUCUAGAGUUCAUAAUGGGGCAAAUGGAGCGGGGGCCCGUAUCUUGGCGGGGCGACCCGGGUAAGGCCUACUUUGUUGUUGUUAGUGCAAACCGAGUGUCUGCAGCCAUGGCGGGUACAUUGUCUCUUUUGCCCCCUCAUUUUACACUUCUGAGCCUCAAAAUACCCCAAAACAAAAAAGUAUUAUCGAAAACUUUUGAUUUUUUUUAAGGGCUAAAACUUACUAUUAUUUAUGAUUGAGAAAUUCCAUAUUUCCUUAAUGAAAGUCACAUUUGCUUUUCUUAUUGUUUUGCUAACUCUAUACUGUUUAGAGAUUUGUAUACAUGUCUUUUUUGAAGUCAUUAUAUUUAUUAAAUUUUAUUGAAGGAACUUUUUCUUUUAAGUGACAUUUAACGAUAUUUUGAGUUUAUAAAAGGAAAUUAGAAACGAGAAAAACAAUAGAGGGGAUACUUUCGAUGACUAAUUGGUGUU
Molecule: long non-coding RNA, 850 nt
Organism: Lycium ferocissimum
Lineage: Eukaryota; Viridiplantae; Streptophyta; Magnoliopsida; Solanales; Solanaceae
Exons: 2
Source: RefSeq, a predicted model, not a curated record